UGGAAGUAGGAUGAGGUAUCCUAGGUACAGAGUAUAAUGCUUUUCUAUUGCUCACCAAGUGGAAACAAUUAUAUUUCACUCGGAUAACUUCCCUCCCACUAAAAUAUGAUGUCUUCAAAUGCUUGAAUACCAGAUUCGGGGAGAAUUGUUAUUUUGCAGGUAUCUAUCUUUUAAUUUUGUUGCUUUAUUGUUUUGGUUGAAUAAUGGAGUGACUAAUUUUUUGUAAAUUUUGCAGUUUCAGAGGUGCUUAUGGAUGAGGUUACUACUCUCCGGAAUUUCUCUCUGUCCAAGGACACCAUCAAGUGAGCCGUCAAGGCUAUUACUUCUCAGAAAACUAUGGAGGUGGUAACUGAGAUGCUCAGCCCAAAGCCUUCGUCUAUCAGAGAUUUGGAACCUCCAGUUCCUACUGUCCAACCUUUCUAGGGUGUUGGUGUUGGAUCUAUUCAACCCAUUUCCUUCUGUCCUUUUGAGACAAUUGGAGCUAGUGCUAACUGCAUUGCUGUUACUUGCCACACUAGGACUCCCACUGACCACUCGGAAGCUUUGAUUGUUGUUACCUCCGAGCCUUCCUCCCCUGUUAUUGAGGUGUUUGAUGGACUAAGGAGGAAGAACUUGAGGUUUCCUUCCAAGCCAAUCACUAAUCCUUCUGAGGUUCCUAUAAAAAGGAGAAGGUUGGUGAAGGAGGCUGACUUGAGUGCAUCAAAGAAAGGUAAUGCCUCUUCCUCUUGCAAGGAAGUGUCUACUCCAACCCAUGUGAGUCGAAGCAAUGGUGACCUAUCUUUGGGUGUUGGCAAUGAGAUCCAAUAUGCCUUAGUUCCUUAUGAAUCUGGGUUUCACUUUCAACUGAACCUGAAGUCUACCCCUACCCUUUAUCACCGAGUUAUUGAAUAAUCAUGUUUUUGGGACUUCUCCAGACCUUAAUGAUCCCUGGUAGUGGGUACACUUUGCAAUAUUGUAAAAUCAAGUAAGCAAUUUGUGACUUAUAGUCCUAAAGUAGUGGAGGACAUAUUUGCUUACAUUUACUUAGGCCUCCUUUGUGGUUGCAUUUCUUAAAUGACUUUUGAACUCUACUUUUCCAUUUAUACCUCCUUAGUGCUUUGAUAGAAUUGAGGAAAAAGUGAUGAGUGCUCGCAAAUCAGCCUGUCAAGAUGUGGAAAAGGCUGAGGAUGAGGAGGUUGCUCGUGUGGCUGCCUCUGUGGAAGAUCAGCACAAGGUUGAUGUUAAUCAUUUAAAAGAGCUCCUUCAUGAGAUUCAACUAUGCAGCAACAGAGGAUCCUAGUUGGAGGCUUAAUUGGCUCAAGAGCAAGCAAAAGUAGAAGCCUGGACUGCCCAGGAGAAGGCUUAUGUGGAUCACAGGAUUAAGGGCUUCAUUGCUUAAGCUAUGGAAUUGGAAAAAGAAUUGGAGAAUAUAAAUGAGGAGCUAACUAAUGCUUGCGAUGAGUUGGCUAAGGCUCCUGAGGACAGACAUGCUUCUGAGUUGUUAAAGAAUCAGCUUAGGCAUGAAGUUUACUCUCUUUCUGAUAAGUGUAAGAAUAUGAGAUUACCAUUUUAGGUCUUCGAGAAGGUGCUGAAAUUGUUGCUUGGAGCCAAUAUAAAAAAAUUUUGAAGUCGAAUGAGUUUAAAGAGAAGGUGUAACGACCCCAAAAUGGACCGUCACUGGCGCUAGGAUUCAGGUCGGUUUAAGGCCGCCAAAACCCGUAGCAAGCCUGCUAUACUCUCUGUGUACCUGUAAAUCUCAUACAUGAUCAUACAUUUUCUGUGAAAAUAAAAACUCUUUUCUGUACCAAGGCUUAACCUGUGCAUGCACGUACUCUGUACUCUGUACCCCUGACUAGAGCUUGCUCUAGAUGGGUUAACUCAUACCUGUUAAGCCUGGUUUUUCACAUACUCUGUAAAACAUAUACAUAUACAGAUCAUGUACAUAACAAAAGAUUUACAACACAAAAUAACUAAGUCAAGCACAAUUCUAACUUUAUACACAACUAUUACAUCUCUUUCAUAUUACAUGUCCACUAUAUUCUAUUACACAACUCUUCUCUUUUCCUGAACUUUGUUGGACUUCCCCUGUACACUGUACACUGAACCUGCAAGACUGGGGUUAAGGGAGUGGGAUGAGCUCUAUAGCCCAGUGAGUAGAAUAAUAAAACAUAUCAUUAAAAUAUGAUCUCAUGGAAUGCACCAUAUCACAGACAAUCCACAUCAAGGGUAAACCUGUCAGCACAUAGUCCCGGUAACUCUGCCGUGCCAGGGCGUAGAAUCGAGCACCUGGUCUUCCUGUUAUAUAUGUAUAUGUGUAUAUAACACCUCUGUACUUACCAUUGCCAGGGCGUAGUCAAAGGCUCCUGGACUUUACUAUACCUGCCAGGGCGUAGUCAAAGGCUCCUGGACUUCUCUAUAUUUGCCAGGGAGUAGUCAAAGGCUCCUGGACUUCUCUCAAAGACUAUUGGAUCAUUCAGCAUUCACCCACAUCAACAAAUAACUAUGCAAUGCAACAUAUUCGUGGAUUCUAAUGUAAUCAACCUACUGUAUACUCAUGAUGCAUGAAUUAUGCUAAAAGCAUUUUAUUUCUCAAUUAAAAGCAUUAAGUUUAGUUCCACUCACCUCUGGCUAUCUGGACUGACUCUGCAAGCUCUGAAAACUCUGGAGCAGUACUCACUGCUGCUCUCUCUGGUUCCUCUGGUCUGUGUAAGCACAGAUAAACUCAAAUGAGGGACCAAACUAACUCAAGAACAACUCUAUUAAACUCCCCAAGACUCCCCUUAAACUCACUCUAACAUCCAUGCAAAGCAUGCAAAGGAAAGCUGGACAGGACACUUUCGGCGGCAGGUUCGGCGGCCGAAAGCCCUCUCCAGAGCCGAAACUCAAGCACCUUCGGCGGCCGAAUCUCUACUUUCGGCAGCCGAACCCUUUCGGGGGCAAGUUUCGGAGGCUGAAAGGCACUCCAGAGACGAAAGUCUCUAACCUUCGGCGGCGCCUUCGGCGGCCGAACUCCCCUCCAGAGCCGAAAGUCCAAAAGCUCUGGGGCAAGCUUGGGCAGCCGAAGCCACCUCCUCAUGGGUUCGGCGGCCGAAUGUACCUUCGGUGGCCGAACCUGAGUUCAUCCGCAAGGCAGAAACUUGCUCUGCCUCUCACCAAAAGCACAAAACUCUCUCAAACUCAAACACCUCAAUUCCUCAACUUGCAUACACCCAAGUAUAUGCUCAAAGGGGUCAAUAACUACCUACACACCCCAACAACACAAUCACAUAAUACAGAAACAAGCCUUUCUCACAAAAUUAUCAAAAAACUCUCCUUUAACCCUAUUCAUGCAACUCUCCCCCAAAACCUCAAAAAUCUUUCAUAAAUCAUGAAAACAAGCUCAGGAUCUUCACUUACCUCUUGAAACCAAGAAGAUGAACGAUCCUAACGUGGAGUUUUGGAGCAACUCUCCUUCAAACUCUCCAAACUUCAAAAUUCAAGUUUCUAACUCAAAACCUUCAAAUAAACAUAAAAAUCAAUCAAAUCUUUGCAUGAUUUAAUGAAAACAUGAAGAAAACUCUAAAAAGGACAGGGUCUCACCUCAGCAAGUCAAAGAAACGGUGAUCUUAUCGUUUCAACCGACUGAGGGCCUUUUAUAGGUGGCUGGCCAGACCACCUUCGGCGGCCACACGUGAAACCGAAAGCCAUGCAUGUUCGGCAGCCGAACCUCAACUUCGGCGGCCGAACCUGGCUUUUCUGCCUUGGUUCAUUUCACUCAAAAACUCAUUUCCUUAUGCUUUAAAACUAUGAAACAUACCAAAACAUUAUAGAACAACAUAAAGCUAACCCUUCUAGAGACUUCCGGCAUUCGAAACUCCAUCGGAAAGUAGAAUUCCGAUGCCGGACUCUAGCCGGGUAUUACAGAAGGUUUUUAAUGCCUCCACGAGAUUCUAUGCCACUAGCUUCAAGCUACAUUUUAAAGGCUGCUUAUGAUGUACCUGAGACACCUUUGAAUGCAUUACGGGUAGUUGAAUAGAUUCUGAUGGUGAAGAAGUGUAGUAUGGCCUUGACGACUUAGACCUUCCUAAAGUGCAUCCUCUUACUUCUCAGAGUGUGUUAUCACAAGAUACUAUCGAGUUUGAUUAAGAGGCCAGUCAGAUGACUUUCGAUCACCUUAUGCUUGAGGCUCUAAAUGCCCAGAAUAUUCCACCUCCAAAUGGCGCUAUUUCAUUAGAUCCAACUGUCAAAAAUGCUUAUACUUUCUCUACUGUUACUAGAGUUGAGCUUGACCUGACUGGUGAUCUUGCCUCUUCUAGUGAAGCCCAAAAUUGAUCUUAUAAGACAUGUAAAUGUUUGAAAAUUUCUGGUAGAUGUUUCAUACUUGC
Molecule: long non-coding RNA, 4343 nt
Filed under: Manihot esculenta (cassava)
Lineage: Eukaryota; Viridiplantae; Streptophyta; Magnoliopsida; Malpighiales; Euphorbiaceae
Description: long non-coding RNA (MESC_LNC002228)
Source: RNAcentral